Molecule: long non-coding RNA, 199 nt
Filed under: Elaeis guineensis (African oil palm)
Lineage: Eukaryota; Viridiplantae; Streptophyta; Magnoliopsida; Arecales; Arecaceae
Description: long non-coding RNA (EGUI_LNC032356)
Source: RNAcentral
GUUCCACAACUCAGAAAUCUAUCAAAUUAGGGGUUGUGAUCCCAAAUAUGCUGACUGGUGGCCAAGAUGCGGGUGCACACAUGGAAUCUAAUCCAACCCAUAAGGAGAUUUUGUCCUCUAAGCUAAAUGCGCCUCCAAGAUCAGGAGUCCCAUGCACUCCUUGAUCUAUGAGAGUGACGACCAAACUAGCAAGAGAGAA